UUGGGCCUAAAGCAUCCGUAGUCGGCUGCUCAAGUUUCCGGUUAAAUCCACACGCUUAACGUAUGGGCUGCCGGAAAUACUGUUCAGCUAGGGAGUGGGAGAGGUAGACGGUACUCGAUAGGAAGGGGUAAAAUCCUUUGAUCUAUUGAUGACCACCUGUGGCGAAAACGGUCUACCAGAACACGUUCGACGGUGAGGGAUGAAAGCUGGGGGAGCAAACCGGAUUAGAUACCCGGGUAGUCCCAGCUGUAAACGAUGCAGACUCGGUGAUGCAUUGGCUUAUGGCCAGUGCAGUGCCGCAGGGAAGCCGUUAAGUCUGCCGCCUGGGAAGUACGUACGCAAGUAUGAAACUUAAAGGAAUUGGCGGGGGAGCACAAG
RNAcentral lists this ribosomal RNA (378 nucleotides) under uncultured Nitrososphaerota archaeon. RNAcentral describes it as "bacterial SSU rRNA". It matches the Rfam family "Archaeal small subunit ribosomal RNA", at positions 504 to 882 of the family's 1478-position model. The record is from RNAcentral. Lineage: Archaea; Thermoproteati; Nitrososphaerota.